CCCAGACUCACCAGCUGGAUGGAGCAGCUCACACCCGCUCUUAAGCCGCUUAGACGCGGCUCUCAGCACCCAGGAGCUGCACAGCUGGCCCUGCGGUUAUGUCCACAGGAGCCGGGCCAGGAGGUCAGAGCUAGAAUUCUCCACUGUCUGUACAGCAGUCUGUUCGUACCACAGAGCCCCCUUGUUAAAGAGUUUCUUUGGACAUUGAUCAGCCCACACCUUUUCCAAACUUUCCACCCUACGUCCAUCCUGAGGCCAUGGGCGCCCAAUCAAAUUCCUCUUCCCAGAACAGCUACUGAGCUAAACAUCUCAUUGGUUUCUGCCUCCACCAAUGACAUGGACGAGGGGGCAGCCCCGGGAAGACGCAGGAGAGGCGAUGGGAGCGGGAGACAGGAGGCCCGGAGCCCCAGCAGCCAGCAGAGGCAGCAGGCACCCUCCUCCAGAGCCGCCGAGGGGAGCGAGGCCCUGGGCCGCCUGGAUCUCGGGCUCCCAGCUCCAGAGCCCGAGAGGAUGGCUUCCUGCUGCUCUCAGCCCUUCUCAACCACCCUCCCCCUGCCGUGGGGUGUUUGCUGUGGCCGCAGGACACCAGCACCAGCUUCUCACCUCCCCCCACCACGAGUUGCAGGUCUGGCGGGCAGCGCGUUCGCUCGCCUGACCCCACGCCCAGGCUGCACGCGGAUCUUUGAAAAGGUCGCAUGUCCGUAACUGGGAAGCAAUCCUGAGGGCAGAAAGCAGCAUUCUGAUAUUUUCCUGGAGCGCAGACACGGACAGUACCGGGGAAGGCCGGCAAAGCCACUUCACGCGGGGCUGCUGGGAGUCAACUCAGAGGGACCUCAGAGACCUGACCAGUGGGCACGCUGCCCGCCGCCCAGCUCGUGGAUGGAGGAGCCUGGAAGCCUCGGCCAUGCUGGCUCGGUGCGGCCUGAGCCGCUGUCGCGAUCGGAGCUCCCGCGACGGGGACCUCGAGGCCGCUGCAGACGGUCCGGGAGGUCCCAGCAGGCCCGGUCUCCGAAUUCCCCAGAGACACAGACACAGGGCUGGGGUCACCGCGUCCAGGGAGCG
This 1062-nucleotide long non-coding RNA is filed under the name Capra hircus (goat). RNAcentral's name for it is "lncRNA (ENSCHIG00000004040.1)". Lineage: Eukaryota; Metazoa; Chordata; Mammalia; Artiodactyla; Bovidae. The record is from RNAcentral.